UACGGAGGGUGCAAGCGUUGCUCGGAAUUAUUGGGCGUAAAGGGCAAGUAGGUGGUCUCAUUUGUCUAGGGUGAAAGCCUUGAGCUUAACUCAAGAAGUGCCCCGGAAACGGUGAGACUCGAGUCCUAGAGAGGGUCGUGGAAUUCCCGGUGUAGCGGUGAAAUGCGUAGAGAUCGGGAGGAACACCAGAGGCGAAGGCGGCGACCUGGAUAGAUACUGACGCUGAGGUGCGAAAGCGUGGGGAGCAAACAGG
RNAcentral lists this ribosomal RNA (253 nucleotides) under uncultured bacterium. RNAcentral describes it as "partial 16S ribosomal RNA". It matches the Rfam family "Bacterial small subunit ribosomal RNA", at positions 524 to 776 of the family's 1533-position model. The record is from RNAcentral.